CGCUGGCGGCGUGCCUAACACAUGCAAGUCGAACGAAGCUCUGCUUUUGAUUUUUUCGGAAUGAUAAAGCAGAUGACUUAGUGGCGGACGGGUGAGUAACGCGUGGAUAACCUGCCCUGCACAGGGGGAUAACAGUUAGAAAUGACUGCUAAUACCGCAUAAGCGCACACUACCGCAUGGUAGAGUGUGAAAAGCGAAUACGGUGCAGGAUGGGUCCGCGUCUGAUUAGCUAGUUGGUGAGGUAAAGGCCCACCAAGGCGACGAUCAGUAGCCGGCCUGAGAGGGCGACCGGCCACAUUGGGACUGAGACACGGCCCAGACUCCUACGGGAGGCAGCAGUGGGGAAUAUUGCACAAUGGGGGAAACCCUGAUGCAGCGACGCCGCGUGAGCGAAGAAGUAUUUCGGUAUGUAAAGCUCUAUCAGCAGGGAAGAUAAUGACGGUACCUGACUAAGAAGCUCCGGCUAAAUACGUGCCAGCAGCCGCGGUAAUACGUAUGGAGCAAGCGUUAUCCGGAUUUACUGGGUGUAAAGGGAGCGCAGGCGGCGGAUCAAGUCUGAUGUGAAAGAUCGGGGCCCAACCCCGGAGCUGCAUUGGAAACUGUUCUGCUG
This 610-nucleotide ribosomal RNA is filed under the name uncultured rumen bacterium. Its description in RNAcentral is "bacterial SSU rRNA". It matches the Rfam family "Bacterial small subunit ribosomal RNA", at positions 34 to 643 of the family's 1533-position model. The record is from RNAcentral.